This 75-nucleotide non-coding RNA is filed under the name unclassified sequences. The record is from Rfam.
GGGGAGACCCCUUAGACUCCCCGCACGGGAGUGUUAAUAGCGGUGUGUUUGGCCGCACAUCGUGGUUAGUGAAUC